Molecule: long non-coding RNA, 374 nt
Organism: Glycine soja
Lineage: Eukaryota; Viridiplantae; Streptophyta; Magnoliopsida; Fabales; Fabaceae
Exons: 4
Source: RefSeq, a predicted model, not a curated record
AGGCAUAGAUAAAGAUCAAUGGGCUCGUUUUGUUCAUUAUCGUCAUAAACCAUCAACAUUGGAACUUUGUAGGAGAAAUAAAGAAAUUCGAAGCAAGCAAGUUAUUCCACACACUGGUGGAUUCAAAGCUAAUCCUAGAAGAAGAAAUGAGUUGUUGUUAGAAACUGGGAAGCUACCAAGUCGUGGACAAUUAUAUAUUGAAACUCAUAAAAGGAAAGAUGGAUCAUUUGUAAAUGAAGCAGCAAAGACUAUAGCGGAACAAAUUGAAGUAGGAUUGACUCAAAGCAUAGUUGAUGAAUCUGAAGUUUCUCCUCUUGAUGUUGUUGGUAGAGUGUUAGGGUUAGAGCACUCUGGGAGAGUGCGAUGCAUGAGAU